UACAGAGGGUGCAAGCGUUAAUCGGAAUGACUGGGCGUAAAGAGUGCGUAGGUGGCAAAAUAAGUUAGUUGUGAAAUCCCUGGGCUUAACCUAGGAACUGCAAUUGAUACUGUUUAGCUAGAGUAUAGUAGAGGUAAGUGGAAUUUCCGGUGUAGCGGUGAAAUGCGUAGAUAUCGGAAGGAACACCAGUGGCGAAGGCGGCUUACUGGGCUAAUACUGACACUGAGGCACGAAAGCGUGGGGAGCAAACAGG
Molecule: ribosomal RNA, 253 nt
Filed under: uncultured bacterium
Lineage: Bacteria
Description: partial 16S ribosomal RNA
Rfam family: Bacterial small subunit ribosomal RNA
Source: RNAcentral